RNAcentral lists this ribosomal RNA (632 nucleotides) under Pseudomonas aeruginosa. Its description in RNAcentral is "bacterial SSU rRNA". It matches the Rfam family "Bacterial small subunit ribosomal RNA", at positions 58 to 688 of the family's 1533-position model. The record is from RNAcentral. Lineage: Bacteria; Pseudomonadati; Pseudomonadota; Gammaproteobacteria; Pseudomonadales; Pseudomonadaceae.
CUAGCCGGUAUAAAGGGAGCUUGCUCCUGGAUUCAGCGGCGGACGGGUGAGUAAUGCCUAGGAAUCUGCCUGGUAGUGGGGGAUAACGUCCGGAAACGGGCGCUAAUACCGCAUACGUCCUGAGGGAGAAAGUGGGGGAUCUUCGGACCUCACGCUAUCAGAUGAGCCUAGGUCGGAUUAGCUAGUUGGUGGGGUAAAGGCCUACCAAGGCGACGAUCCGUAACUGGUCUGAGAGGAUGAUCAGUCACACUGGAACUGAGACACGGUCCAGACUCCUACGGGAGGCAGCAGUGGGGAAUAUUGGACAAUGGGCGAAAGCCUGAUCCAGCCAUGCCGCGUGUGUGAAGAAGGUCUUCGGAUUGUAAAGCACUUUAAGUUGGGAGGAAGGGCAGUAAGUUAAUACCUUGCUGUUUUGACGUUACCAACAAGAAUAAGCACCGGCUAACUUCGUGCCAGCAGCCGCGGUAAUACGAAGGGUGCAAGCGUUAAUCGGAAUUACUGGGCGUAAAGCGCGCGUAGGUGGUUUCAGCAAGUUUGGAUGUGAAAUCCCCGGGCUCAACCUGGAACUGCAUCCAAAACUACUGAGCUUAGAGUACGGUGAGGGUGGUGGAUUCCUGUGUAGCGGUGAAAUG